CAAGAGAGCAAAGCAGGGCCUACAGGAGUCCUCCCACCAAGCAGCUCUAGGUGCAGUGAUACAGGCCCCACUAGCUCAGCUGAAGCAGCAAUGGCCAGGGCUACAGAGGAACAAGACCAAGAAGAUAGAAUCACCAAGAAGACCUGACUGUCUUCUGAUGCUUGAAUGUGACCUGGGGAAUUGGAAUCUCCUCACCUGCUCCUUCUCCUUGGAUUGUUGAAUGUUUGUGGCAACACUUACUUCAAGCAAGGACGUCAGCACCAUUUUUCCAACAGCAUUUGCUCACUUCAUGUUUCUGUGUCACAUUUUGGUAAUUCCCCAAAUAUUUCAAGCUUCCCCAUUAUUAUUGUAUUUGCUAUGGUGAUCUGUAAUCCAUGACCUUUGAUUUUACUACUGUAAUUGU
Cervus elaphus (red deer) is the source of this 403-nucleotide long non-coding RNA. RefSeq lists it as uncharacterized. NCBI's taxonomy places the organism in Eukaryota, Metazoa, Chordata, Mammalia, Artiodactyla, Cervidae. The record is from RefSeq and is a predicted model, not a curated record. The transcript has 3 exons.